UUGAAACACCGGUUUUCGUACGACCACAGAAGUUAAGCAACGUAGAGUCUGAUCAGUACUUAGAUGGGUGACCACUUGGGAAUACCAGGUACCGUAAU
Acanthosepion pharaonis is the source of this 98-nucleotide non-coding RNA. Lineage: Eukaryota; Metazoa; Mollusca; Cephalopoda; Sepiida; Sepiidae. The record is from the annotation of a GenBank genome assembly.